CAAUAGCGUAUAUUAAAGUUGUUGCGGUUAAAAAGCUCGUAGUUGGAUUUCUGCCGAGGACGACCGGUCCGCCCUCUGGGUGAGUAUCUGGCUCGGCCUGGGCAUCUUCUUGGAGAACGUAGCUGCACUUGACUGUGUGGUGCGGUAUCCAGGACUUUUACUUUGAGGAAAUUAGAGUGUUUCAAGCAGGCUUACGCCUUGAAUACAUUAGCAUGGAAUAAUAAGAUAGGACCUCGGUUCUAUUUUGUUGGUUUCUAGAGCUGAGGUAAUGAUUAAUAGGGAUAGUUGGGGGCAUUCGUAUUUAACUGUCAGAGGUGAAAUUCUUGGAUUUGUUGAAGACGGACUACUGCGAAAGCAUCUGCCAUGGAUGUUCUCAUUGA
Molecule: ribosomal RNA, 380 nt
Filed under: uncultured eukaryote
Lineage: Eukaryota
Description: partial 18S ribosomal RNA
Rfam family: Eukaryotic small subunit ribosomal RNA
Source: RNAcentral